Molecule: long non-coding RNA, 915 nt
Filed under: Homo sapiens (human)
Lineage: Eukaryota; Metazoa; Chordata; Mammalia; Primates; Hominidae
Description: HSALNT0316968
Source: RNAcentral
UAGGAUUGAUUGUGAGCUUCUCCCCCCAAACUCAGAAAAACUGCCAGAAGCUCAGAAAAGUAAGCUGCUUGCUCAAGAAUGGACGGCUUCAAGGUGGCAGAGCUGGAAGUUUCUAACUCACUCACCUCAUACUCAGACCUGCACUGUUUUUCAAGACAGUCAAUAUUUCAGGCCAUCUACUGAUUGGAUGAGGCCCACCAGCAUUCUGAAAGACAAGGAAUCUGAGACCUGGCUGGGAGAAGAGGACUUGCCUAAAGUUAUCCCACACAGCAAAUUAGUUGGAAAACCAGGAUAGUUGAGUAAAUAUCCUGGAGCCCAGCCAAGUAAUGAAGCCAGAAUUCAGAAAGCUGUUUUGGCUAGAUCUUGGAUUUUUACAAUAAAGGGUCUGUAAGGGAUAUUUGUGAAAAAUGUUGACACUUGACGGCUGUCCUGAUUCAUUCAGCUACCUAGGUUAUCUCUGCCUCUCUUUGACUUGUGUUUUGUCUUUUAAGAUGGCAGUCUUGCUCUUUUGCCUGGGCUGGUCUUGAACUCCUGGGCUCAAGCAGUUUUCCUGCUUUAGCCUCCUGAGUAGCUGGGGCUACAGGAGGACAUCACUGUGCCCAGCUCUCUCCGUAUCUUUGACUAGGUUAUUUUACAACCCCAUACGAUAGAAAUGAAGUUAUAGAAAACUGAUAGGAAUACAAAUAAUUAUUAUCCAUGGAAAUGCAAAUUGGAUCUAAUGGAAUGAAACUGAUUUUUUUUCCAGCAGAUAGUGACCACCUUUGUAUCCUUUUGUAAAUUCAUUUCAGCAUUCCAUAUUUGACUAAAAAUGUGUGACACUCCCAAUUUGCUUUUGAAUUCAUUGUAAUAUCUACCAAUUCCCUCAUUAAUUAAUGAGUUAAAUAAAGCCUUUGGCAUGUAUUUAUUUUGUAUCUA